Molecule: ribosomal RNA, 451 nt
Filed under: uncultured bacterium
Lineage: Bacteria
Description: partial 16S ribosomal RNA
Rfam family: Bacterial small subunit ribosomal RNA
Source: RNAcentral
GAUGAACGCUGGCGGCGUGCCUAACACAUGCAAGUCGAGCGGCAGCGAGGGGUGCUUGCACCCUGUCGGCGAGCGGCGGACGGCUGAGUAACGCGUGGGAACGUGCCCCAAAGUGAGGAAUAACUGCCCGAAAGGGUAGCUAAUACCGCAUAUUAUCUUCGGAUCAAAGGAUUUAUCCGCGUUGGGAGCGGCUCGCGUCGGAUUAGGUAGUUGGUGAGGUAAUGGCUCACCAAGCCGACGAUCCGUAGCUGGUCUGAGAGGAUGACCAGCCAGACUGGAACUGAGACACGGUCCAGACUCCUACGGGAGGCAGCAGUGAGGAAUCUUCCACAAUGGGCGAAAGCCUGAUGGAGCAACGCCGCGUGCAGGACGAAGGCCUUCGUGUUGUAAACUGCUUUUAUAAGUGAGGAAUAUGACGGUAACUUAUGAAUAAGGAUCGGCUAACUACGUG